CACAUGACUCUCGGCAAUGGAUAUCUCGGCUCUCGCAUCGAUGAAGAACGUAGCAAAAUGCGAUACCUGGUGUGAAUUGCAGAAUCCCGCGAACCAUCGAGUUUUUGAACGCAAGUUGCGCCCGAGGCCUUCUGGCUGAGGGCACGUCUGCCUGAGCGUCACGC
This 164-nucleotide ribosomal RNA is filed under the name Hordeum patagonicum subsp. setifolium. RNAcentral's name for it is "5.8S ribosomal RNA". It matches the Rfam family "5.8S ribosomal RNA". Rfam says of the family: 5.8S ribosomal RNA (5.8S rRNA) is a component of the large subunit of the eukaryotic ribosome. It is transcribed by RNA polymerase I as part of the 45S precursor that also contains 18S and 28S rRNA. Lineage: Eukaryota; Viridiplantae; Streptophyta; Magnoliopsida; Poales; Poaceae. The record is from RNAcentral.